ACAGUUGAACGAAUCUGUCGCUGAUUUCGUAAUGAAAUAAGAGGAACUUCCGGGCAACAAAGAGCACCAUACUUCUUAACGAGAAGUUAUCCGUGAGGAUAAAGCAGUGUAACAGAAAAUGACCGCUUUGUAUUUUUGUACAAAGUAAGGGUGAAAAGGUGGGGUAAGAGCCUACCGAAAGAAUAGCGAUAUUCUUUGUCCGUACACCUUAUGGGUUGCAAUACCAUGUAUACCGACGCAUAUAUGUAGAGUUGCUCGCUCGAUGUCGGGGGGUAGGUAGCUGGAGGCGUUUAGUGAUAAACGUCGUAGAUAAAUGACAGAUGGUGCAUUUUUUUUGCAUUACAGAACCCGGGGUAUUGUUUAACUGUACUU
RNAcentral lists this RNase P RNA (372 nucleotides) under Paludibacteraceae bacterium. Its description in RNAcentral is "RNase P RNA component class A". It matches the Rfam family "Bacterial RNase P class A". Rfam says of the family: Ribonuclease P (RNase P) is a ubiquitous endoribonuclease, found in archaea, bacteria and eukarya as well as chloroplasts and mitochondria. Its best characterised activity is the generation of mature 5'-ends of tRNAs by cleaving the 5'-leader elements of precursor-tRNAs. Lineage: Bacteria; Pseudomonadati; Bacteroidota; Bacteroidia; Bacteroidales; Paludibacteraceae. The record is from RNAcentral.